Molecule: long non-coding RNA, 362 nt
Organism: Mirounga angustirostris (Northern elephant seal)
Lineage: Eukaryota; Metazoa; Chordata; Mammalia; Carnivora; Phocidae
Exons: 3
Source: RefSeq, a predicted model, not a curated record
UCGCCGCCCCUGUGGCUGUCGCCGCCAGCUCCUAGCUCCGCCAUGGUGCUCGGAUGACGCGCUUCGAGAGCCGCUCCGCCCUCUUCCUCGGCUUCGCUCCCGCCGGCCCCCCGCCUCCAGGGCCCGCGGCCCAGACAGGUUACAAGAGGCAGCUAUCUGUCCUUGAGAUUGGGAUGUAAAAAAAGAUGCAGCUAUGUUGUUGCAAGUAUCCAAUGAGAAAAUAAGGUUCUCCCUCCCCUGCGAAGAUCAGUUCUGUCUGUUAGAAUCUCCACGGAAGGCUGGAAACCAACUGAGCGACAGUCAAGUCUGUGUGUCUCGGAAGUCAGUGAUGGCCUUCCACAGUGUGCAAAGCAUCCCUCCCC